CCUACGGGAGGCUGCAGUGAGGAAUAUUGGUCAAUGGGCUAAGGCCUGAACCAGCCAAGUCGCGUGAGGGAAGACGGUCCUAUGGAUUGUAAACCUCUUUUGUCGGGGAGCAACGAGGCCACGUGUGGCCGAUGUGAGAGUACCCGACGAAAAAGCAUCGGCUAACUCCGUGCCAGCAGCCGCGGUAAUACGGAGGAUGCGAGCGUUAUCCGGAUUUAUUGGGUUUAAAGGGUGCGUAGGCGGAACAUUAAGUCAGCGGUAAAAUCGAGGGGCUCAACCCCUUUAAGCCGUUGAAACUGGUGAUCUGGAGUGGGCGAGAAGUAUGCGGAAUGCGUGGUGUAGCGGUGAAAUGCAUAGUUAUCACGCAGAACUCCGAUUGCGAAGGCAGCAUACCGGCGCCCGACUGACGCUGAGGCACGAAAGCGUGGGGAUCGAACAGGAUUAGAUACCCUGGUAGUC
RNAcentral lists this ribosomal RNA (459 nucleotides) under uncultured bacterium. RNAcentral describes it as "partial 16S ribosomal RNA". It matches the Rfam family "Bacterial small subunit ribosomal RNA", at positions 338 to 795 of the family's 1533-position model. The record is from RNAcentral.